RNAcentral lists this ribosomal RNA (331 nucleotides) under uncultured bacterium. Its description in RNAcentral is "partial 16S ribosomal RNA". It matches the Rfam family "Bacterial small subunit ribosomal RNA", at positions 338 to 666 of the family's 1533-position model. The record is from RNAcentral.
CCUACGGGAGGCAGCAGUGAGGAAUAUUGGUCAAUGGACGCAAGUCUGAACCAGCCAUGCCGCGUGCAGGAAGACGGCUCUAUGAGUUGUAAACUGCUUUUGUACGAGGGUAAACGAAGAGACGCGUAUCUGUCUGAAAGUAUCGUACGACUAAGGAUCGGCUAACUCCGUGCCAGCAGCCGCGGUAAUACGGAGGAUUCAAGCGUUAUCCGGAUUUAUUGGGUUUAAAGGGUGGGUAGGCGGUCGGAUAAGUUAGAGGUGAAAUCCCGGGGCUCAACUUCGGAAUUGCCUUUGAUACUGUUCGGCUAGAGAGUAGGUGCGGUAGGCGGAA